AUUGAACGCUGGCGGCAUGCUUUACACAUGCAAGUCGAACGGCAGCACGAAAGAGCUUGCUCUUUUGGUGGCGAGUGGCGAACGGGUGAGUAAUGCAUCGGAACGUACCGAGUAAUGGGGGAUAACUAUCCGAAAGGAUAGCUAAUACCGCAUACGCUUUGAGAAGGAAAGUGGGGGCUCUUCGGACCUCACGUUAUUCGAGCGGCCGAUGUCUGAUUAGCUAGUUGGUGGGGUAAAGGCCUACCAAGGCGACGAUCAGUAGCGGGUCUGAGAGGAUGAUCCGCCACACUGGGACUGAGACACGGCCCAGACUCCUACGGGAGGCAGCAGUGGGGAAUUUUGGACAAUGGGCGCAAGCCUGAUCCAGCCAUGCCGCGUGUCUGAAGAAGGCCUUCGGGUUGUAAAGGACUUUUGUUAGGGAAGAAAAGGAUAGUGUUAAUACCAUUAUCUGCUGACGGUACCUAAAGAUAAGCCCC
RNAcentral lists this ribosomal RNA (476 nucleotides) under Kingella oralis. RNAcentral's name for it is "bacterial SSU rRNA". It matches the Rfam family "Bacterial small subunit ribosomal RNA", at positions 30 to 494 of the family's 1533-position model. Lineage: Bacteria; Pseudomonadati; Pseudomonadota; Betaproteobacteria; Neisseriales; Neisseriaceae. The record is from RNAcentral.